This is a long non-coding RNA of Hemicordylus capensis (graceful crag lizard), 234 nucleotides long. RefSeq lists it as uncharacterized. The transcript has 2 exons. The record is from RefSeq and is a predicted model, not a curated record. Lineage: Eukaryota; Metazoa; Chordata; Lepidosauria; Squamata; Cordylidae.
CGGGCAGCGGGACUUUCCUGUUCGCCACCUGGGAGGAGGAGCGGCAGCCCGUGACAGCUCUACCAAGGAUCCUUGAAUAUGAAAAUCCAUUUAAUGCAAAAUAAAGAGCAACGUUCCAGCUAUGCAGUAGCGCACAUCUCAAUUUCUGAAGAUUUUCUUCAAAUCUGUAUUGUUUGUAUUUCUGCAGCUUUGUUUUAUUUAUGAAAUUCACAAAUAUAAAAUAGUUUUAUUUUA